Molecule: RNA transcript, 10261 nt
Organism: Haliaeetus leucocephalus (bald eagle)
Lineage: Eukaryota; Metazoa; Chordata; Aves; Accipitriformes; Accipitridae
Gene: BRPF3
Gene name: bromodomain and PHD finger containing, 3
Exons: 14
Source: RefSeq, a predicted model, not a curated record
CUUCUCAUAACUCAUGUUCCCAUCCCUGACACUGCCCUCCUCACUUGCAUUACUCACUUGGCUUCCUUUCCGCUUUCCCUCUUCGCUGCCUUCCUCCUUCGCCCUCAGAUCACUGGGCUCCUGCCUCCACGUCUCCAUCCUCCCCCAGCUCAUCUUGCUGGCUCCAGGCUUCUGCUUCGCUCCCCCUUGAUGGGCACCUCCUUAAUGUUAGGAGCCGACUCUCAAAUGAUUAUCUGGGUUGCUGAUUAGCAGUUUGUGAGGACAGAGCUGGCUUGGGCUUUUCAUUAAGGCUCUGAGCAAAUACCACGGCAUUGCACAGUUCCUGGUGCGUUCUGGAAGCUGUCUUGCUGCUUUCCUGCUCGUACCCCCAUGCACCAGCAGAACCAACUCAGGUGCCUGAACACGGAUUGUGGUUCCAGGGGGGCUGACGCUGAGCCGAAACUAGGUCUCUGGACUGCAGCGAUGAGGAAGCCUCGGAGGAGGUCCCGGCAGAACUUGGAGGGGAGACGUUCUCCCUCGCCCUACAGCCUCAAGUGCUCACCGACUCGGGAGACACUGACAUACGCUCAGGCCCAGCGGAUCGUGGAGGUAGAUAUUGAUGGGCGGCUUCAUCGCAUCAGCAUCUACGAUCCCCUAAAAAUCAUCACAGAGGACGAGCUGACUGCCCAGGACAUCACCGAGUGCAACAGCAACAAGGAAAACAGCGAGCAGCCCCUUUUCCCUUCCAAAUCUAAGAAAACACCUUCCAAAGGCAAGAAGAAAGAGUCCUGCUCCAAAUAUGCACCAGGGACAUCUUUACACUUACCCCAGCCCAACUUCCGCGUGGUGGACUCCUUCAGCCAGCCAGAUGCCCCUCCUCUCCCUGCCGCCUACUACCGGUACAUUGAAAAGCCUCCUGAGGACCUCGAUGUAGAGGUGGAGUACGACAUGGAUGAGGAGGAUCUGGCAUGGCUGGAAAUGGUCAAUGAGAAGAGAAGGGAUGAUGGUUAUGGGACAGUUUCUGCUGACACUUUUGAGCUGCUGGUGGAUCGGUUGGAAAAGGAGUCGUACCUCGAGAGCCGGAACAACGGGGGUCAGCAGUCCCUCAUCGAUGAGGAUGCCUUCUGCUGUGUCUGCAUGGAUGAUGAGUGUCACAACAGCAAUGUCAUCCUGUUCUGUGAUAUCUGCAAUCUGGCUGUGCACCAGGAGUGUUAUGGCGUGCCCUAUAUCCCUGAGGGGCAGUGGCUUUGCCGCUGCUGCUUGCAGUCCCCUUCUCGCCCUGUGGAUUGUGUCCUUUGCCCGAACAAAGGUGGAGCCUUCAAGCAGACCAGCGAUGGCCGCUGGGCUCAUGUGGUUUGUGCCAUCUGGAUCCCAGAGGUCUGCUUUGCAAACACUGUGUUCCUGGAGCCCAUUGAAGGGAUAAAUAACAUCCCCCCGGCUAGGUGGAAGCUCACAUGCUAUAUCUGCAAGCAGAAGGGCAUGGGAGCUGCUAUCCAAUGCCACAAGGUGAACUGUUACACUGCCUUCCACGUCACCUGUGCCCAGCGGGCUGGUCUCUUCAUGAAGAUCGAACCCAUGAGGGAGACCAGCAUCAAUGGCACAACAUUCACCGUGCGCAAGACUGCCUAUUGUGAGAGUCAUUCCCCACCUGGGACAGUGAAAAAAGGGUCUCCAGCUGCUAGCAUUGAGAGGCCGGAGGACACUGUGAAGGAGGAGGAAGAGGAGGAAGCCAAUUCUGGCCCUCCCAAAGGGUCUCUGAAAAAGAACCAAGUGAAAUUGAAGCAGAAGAUCAAAAAGGAGCCUGGUGAUGUGACCGAUGGGCAUUUGUCUGUGCCCAUGGUGACAGUCACACAAAUCCCCUCUUACAGGCUGAACAAAAUCUGCAGUGGCCUCUCCUUCCAGAGAAAGAACCAGUUUAUGCAGAGGCUCCACAACUACUGGCUGCUGAAGCGGCAAGCGAGGAACGGGGUGCCCCUAAUCCGGCGCCUGCACUCGCACCUCCAGUCCCAGAGGAACGCAGAGCAGAAGGAGCAGGAUGAGAAGACCAGUGCAGUGAAGGAAGAGCUGAAGUACUGGCAAAAACUGCGGCAUGACUUGGAGAGGGCACGGCUGCUCAUCGAGCUGAUCCGUAAGAGGGAAAAACUCAAACGGGAGCAGGUCAAGGUUCAGCAGGCUGCUAUGGAGCUACAGCUGACCCCUUUCAAUGUACUUCUGCGCACAACACUGGACCUGUUGCAGGAGAAGGAUGCUGCCCAAAUCUUCGCAGAGCCUGUUAACCUGAACGAGGUUCCAGAUUACCUGGAAUUCAUUUCCAACCCAAUGGAUUUUUCCACCAUGAGGCGGAAGCUGGAGUCCCACCUGUACCGAACAUUGGAUGAGUUUGAGGAAGACUUUAACCUUAUAGUUACCAACUGCAUGAGGUAUAAUGCUAAAGACACGAUUUUCCACCGAGCAGCUGUCCGGCUCAGAGACCUUGGAGGAGCGAUAUUGCGUCAUGCACGGCGGCAGGCUGAAAACAUCGGCUUUGACACUGAUGUGGGGAUUCACCUGCCUGAGUCACCCAAAACCGAGGACUUUUACCGCUUUUCUUGGGAGGAUGUGGAUAACAUCCUCCUCCCGGAGAACCGGGCUCACCUCUCCUUGGAGGCCCAGCUGAAGGAGCUGCUGGAGAAGCUAGACAUGGUGAGCACCAUGCGGUCCAGCGGCGCCCGGACACGACGCAUCCGGCUCCUGAGACGGGAGAUCAACUCCAUUCGGCAGAAGCUGGCCCAGCAGCAGAACAAGACCAUACCCAAUGGGGAGCCUGUGCCGCGGGAAGAGGGGACAGAUAAAACAUCAAGGGAAGGGGAUGAGGAAGGGGAGAAAGAUGAUGCCAAGCCCCCGCACCCUCCAACUCUGGAGCCCACAGGACCCGCACCCUCCCUCUCGGAGCUGGAGUCUCUGCAGGACCCUCCAACGCUCAAACCCAUCAGUGAAAGCAAGUCCUUGAAUCAGCUGCAGAAGAGGGUGAUGUCAGACAGGGAACUCUUCGACAAGAAGGCACUGCAGCGGGAGAGCCAAGCCUUCCAGCGCCUGCUCAGCGACAACGGCCUGAACGGACUGGCCUUGCCACCUGCAGACACCCCUGCCAGCCCCCCCUUCAGCGGCGUGGGCCGACGGACAUCUGUCCUUUUUAAAAAAGCUAAGAAUGGGGUGAAGCUGCAAAGGGGCCUGGACUGCUCCCUGGAGAACGGGGAGGACCACAGGCAGAGUGGGCAGCUUUCACCCUCCUGCCCUGACGGGGAGCGACAAGCUCAGAAGCGGCCACAGAGCAGGACCUGCAGUGAGAGUGAUGGAGAGAAGUCGCCCAGGCAGGCAGGACAGAGAGGAGUGACUAACGGCUUUGCAAAGCAUGCAGAAAGCGGCUCUGACUCUGAGUGCAGCUCUGGCCUGGGUGGUGGACUGGUGUUUGAAGCCUGCAGUGGUUUGAUGCCUCCCAAGCGAAGUCGAGGGAAGCCAGCUCUUUCUCGGGUGCCCUUUUUGGAAGGUGUGAAUGGAGACUCUGAUUACAGCAGCUCAGGCAGGACUCUCCUGAUGUCCUUUGAGAGUCAGGCUGAGCUGGAGCCCUUGGAGCUUGUGUGGGCCAAAUGCCGUGGCUAUCCCUCCUACCCUGCCUUGAUAAUCGAUCCCAAGAUGCCACGCGAGGGUUUGCUCCACAAUGGAGUCCCCAUCCCAGUCCCACCCAUGGAUGUGUUGAAGUUGGGGGAGCAGAGGCAGACAGAGGCAGGAGAAAAGCUCUUCCUUGUCCUUUUCUUUGACAACAGGAGAACCUGGCAGUGGCUUCCACGUGACAAAGUCUAUCCCCUCGGCGUGGAUGACACAGUGGACAAGUUAAAGAUGAUGGAAGGACGAAAAACCAGCAUCCGCAAGUCCGUGCAGGUGGCAUACGACCGAGCCAUGAUUCACAUGAGCCGCGUGCGGGGAGAUCAUCCCUUCAUUACGUCCAAUUAUCUGUAAGGGGUUGGGGUGACCGGUCCUCCUUUUCCUCCAGACCCCGCGCUCUCUGCGUCGGCAGAGCGGACCGUCUUGUGCACUGACUGGCCAGGGGAUGCCGUUCCCAGCAGCUGUCAGCACUCCUCGAAGUACCCUGAAAUGUGCCAAAAAGCCUGUCCAGCUUCUUUCUGAAUGUGUCUUGCUGAAGAGCUGGCAGGAGAUGAAAUAUAUAGUCUACAGGGCCAGGAGUAAGGUAGUUAGGAAAAGCUGCCAGGUGACGGGAGCCAAGGUGAGCUGAUGCAGUGACCAGAGCACAGCUCUCGGAUGUUCGGACCUCAUGCACCCUCCCUCGCCCCUGCCUUCCCCGUGCCGCCGGGGUUUUUAAGUCAUCAGCCAGCCCAAGUAAUUCCCAGGAACCCGUCACCACUGUAACUGAACCAGGAUCCUUUACGGAAAUCCCAACUGGACUUUAUUGUGCCAAAUUUACCCUAACCAUCAUUGGCCUUUUCAUUUUUUUAAAUGACAUUGAUUGUCCCAUCACAUUAAACAAAAAAAUCGUAGCUGGGAGUUCACAUUACGAUUUUCCUGCCUACGUACAUAGUGUUUUCAUGUUAGAUUUCUGUCACUGCAUUUAGAAAAGCUUGAGAUUUUUUGGUAACCUUCCCCUCUGCUGCGCACACUUACAUGCAUAGAUGCACAGAGCUUUAAAUACAAAAAGAAAAUUACCUGAUUUUUGUGUGUGUGUGUAUGUCCUAGAAAUUUAUUUGGUAGUUUCACAUUUAAAUUCUGAUUUCUGUGACUGUGCUUGUUCCAGUAACAUUUCAUAUCAUGGUUUAGUACAAUACUGAGUCUAAGCAAAGAUAACUUCCUUUUUUUAAGAAGUAAAACUAAUUUUGGAGGUGUCUAAUGAGCUGGAGCAGCUUUGCAGGCACUGAGGUUGAUCAGGGUUGGAGAGAGAUACAUCUUUUGUGUUGGUUUAUGCACAUUUGGUGUAAGGCUUCUCUUCCUUUCUUCCCUUUUUUCUGUCUCUAACGUUUUCCUCUGGCUCGGUUUGGGUUGAAACCAAGCGCUAACUAGAGCACACGACCAUUUUGCCUUUUCGCCUUCUCCCACACACACAUAUCCUUUCCCUGGUGUGUGGGUCUCCAGCAUUGUCAUCCAUUAAAACCCAAGUAAACCCAGCUCUGCAGAUAAUCCCUGUUUUUUUGGGUUUGCAUUGAAAAAACAGGGACAACUGAUGUUUGGAAACUUGAUGACAAAACCUUUUCUAUUAGCCAAGGACUUUAUGAUUUCUCUGAUCUCUUCUGUUGUGUAUCCCUUUUUGCUUUCCCAUUUUAAGAACCAAAGGUGCAGAGCAAGAUUGUAGAUUGAAUAUCAUCAUUUCGCUUUUUAACUCAAUAUUUUUUUAUUAUUUUAACUUUUUCAUACUGAAGAGAAUGUGGGGUCAAAAUAAUAAUAAUAAUUAAUAAUAAUAAUGAAUAGUGGGGAGUAAUCACUGCCAUUUCUACUUGGUCUACUUUUUUAAAAUACCACUUCUUAUACAUUGGGACAUGGAACCACACUUUAGGGAAGAUUCCUGUAACAUAUAGAGAUGGGGCAUAGGAUUUUGUAAUAAUAAUAAUAAUAAUAAUAAUAAUGCCUAUGGAGUGUGGCUAGGGAAGGAUGUUGUGUAUAUAGUUGUAAAAUAUUGUUCUAAAUUAUUUAGACCUAUUGUCACCAUUCUUGAAGUCCUCAGUUGUGUUGCUGGGUCUUUUAUAUGCACACAGUGUAAUUUAUUUAACGGAACAUACACUUUUCCAGGUGGUAGCUCAGCUGUGGACUUGUGACCUGUGUAUAUGUUUUAAGAUUUUGGGAGUUGGGUUUUUUGGUUUUUGUUUUGUUUUGUUUGUUUUUUAAAUGACAUUUUAGAAUUUGAAUUGGCUAAUAUCCUGCUGUUGCUACGGGACCUAAACGUUACUGUCAGUCUGCUGUAAAGCACAGAUCGCUCUAUUUAUUGUAGAAAGUGAGUUUAUUUGCUUUCUAGAAUUGUUUAUAUCAGAUGGUAUAAGAGAGGUAAUAAGAAAAUCUAUGCUUGUAAAGAAAAAAAAAUGCUAAUUUUACCUACUAUAAUCUGACUGUCUGAGACUAUAUUUUCUCUCUGAGAAAUAAAUGUUCUAAUGUAUAAAAAAAAAAGAAAAAGAGUCCUUCCUUGCUAGUGUUGUCCUGAGUUCCAGGACACUACUUAAUGUGAUGGUGUUUAUUUGUCCCAGUUGUCCUAAACGCAGGCAUAAAGCGGUUGCAAAGAGCAGUGAUAGGGAAGGGACACAUGGAGGGAUGUUUCUGCCUCGAACGAGGUGAGUUUAUUCCCUGUGCAAUGGGUAACAGGGUUGGGUGCUGCAGGAUGGGAUCCCACCGGGGGGUGGCCGGGAGCCCCGAAACGAUGGGAACUGGGGGCUUGAAUCCCAUCUGCUGGUGAUGGCCCUUAGUGGGCCUGAGGGCUGCUGCGAUGCUGGGGCAUGGGCAGUGAGAUGUGCCAGCAGACGGAGACGGGAGCCAAGCGAUGCGGCGAUGGCAGGGCUGGACUCUGCAGCCAGGCUGGUCCCUGGCUCCUGGCUGGGGAGGGUUUCUCAUCUUAGCAGGGCUCUUGCAUUGUCUCUCUUCCCUAAGAUGCAUUUUCCCUCCCUGCACAGGUUCGUGUUGCUGCAGGCGGUGGUGCACCAUCAGGACCCCUUUGCUGCUCGGCCCCUCUGUGUAGAACCCUGGGUUUCGCUGGAAGCUGCUGCUCUCCGAGGAUGCAGGUAUCGUUCCCAUCCACCGCGAGCACAAAGCCCUUCUGGGGCCAGAGGCACAGAUCCACCGCUGUGAUGCAAAACCCUGCAGGAGCCAGGGGAUGCUUUUCCCUUUAUUUCCCCCCAUUCUGUUGUCAGCUCCAGCACCACAAAUUCAGCAGGAGACAUAUACGGUCACCUGCUUUGAGGCCUCAUCCUGGCUCUCACCUCCUUGCCCAGCCUCUCUGCCUGCCUUGCCGGCACAUCCUCUGCCUCCCAGGCUCAGACAAUUGUCAGCCUGAUCCAUGAAAAGCCCCGGUUUCCAAUAAUCUCCCGUCCCCAGCAGCCGCCAUGCUGUAAUGGUCCUUGACCCUCAUCUCCAACUGAUACUGAAUACUGAGUAAUUAAAUUCCUGUUUUCCCCCUAAUAUGUUUGUUCUUUCAGAUGCUUCUGCCUUCAGUUUGAAGGCAGGGCUGCCAUGGGUCUCUGCAGUACCAGUUUGUAAAGCUGGGUUUGCCCUGCCUGGAUCCAGCCCUGGCAGCAGCAUCUGCAGGAGCUGCUGAGAUCCACUGUCCCUCCAGAGCUGGUGCAACAGCAUCUCCUGGGGCUGCCACCAACGGCACCUUUGCCUGAAACCAGUGAUUAAUUUGCAGUUUUGCAAGCAAAACUUUCUGGCAGAGAAGUUUAAUUUCCCCUUGAUUACGUGGUGCAUGUUACUUGGUUUUGUCAAUGCUGCAGGUGCAGCCAUCAGCCCUGCCCCAUCCGUUUCUCUGUGUUUCUUUUCAGAGUUGCAAAAAAAGAAGAAACAAAAUCAAUGAGAGCAAGAAGAUCCCCUGGCUCAGCACGCUGGCCAGAUAAGGACAUAGCUCUUUAUCUGGUGUUGGGGCGAUGCCGAAGGCCAGCAGAUUUUGAUCAAGGGGAGGGGAAGUUCAUUGGAUUUCUGCAACCAUUCCUAAUUUUCUGAAUUUCAUUUUUUUGUCGAGGUGCUGGGUGCAAGGGUGGCAGGUAAUGGCCAUGAACGAGUUAUGUCCCAGAGACAGAGAAGGGUCUUGCUUGUGGACCUGCCCUUCAAAAAGCCUCCCAGAGGAGACCGAAAUGCAAGAGCAGGGUGGUCCGUGCCCCUCUGGCUGCUGCAGCACUGGCUCAGGGGUGCAGGGGGGGUGCAGGGGCCAUGCCCAGCCCUGGGUGCCCACAGCAGAUGUGGGCAGCCCUUGUCCUCGAGGCAAGCCAGGGCCCCUUUGCAGCUAAGGAGGGGAGGGGAGUCUGACCUGGGAAGGAUGGAGAUGGGGAAGAAAGGCAGCAUGGAUGGACAGGACGGGCAGAUAAAGGUGAGGAUGAGGAGGGAGGGGCAGGCGAGGGAGACGGGGGGCUCUGCUUCCAGUGUGUGAUUAGUUUUUCUUUAGCGUUGCUCAACCUUUGAUGGAUGAUGCUCCGCUGUAAAACGCACUGUAAUUACUCAGCGGGACAGCAGGGAUUCAUCAGUGGUGAUCAAUAUUCACAGCAUCUAUCAUGCCUGCGGGCAGCCCGACCCACUGCGCACGCAGGAUCUGGCACUGACCCAUAACCUGAAAUGCCGUGUGUGUCCCUGCAGACCCCCAAUCAUUUGGGGUGAAGCCGUGCAGACCCACAACAGUCUGGGACCAUGCACAGGGCUUGCAAGAAGCUGCUAAUGAUGGUGCAGAUGUUUUUGGCAUGUGUUGUAGUGUGUGCGCAAGCAUACAGGUGCAUGAAAAAGGGAAACGUUAAAAUUUCCAGCUCUCUCCUCUUUCACAACCCGCAUCCCUUUUUCUCUCAACACUUCACAGCUCCUCUCUGGAGCUUGCACCCAAACCCAGGGGCUGGGAAUGGGCAUCUCUUGGCACCUUCCAUGGGAAAAGCACCUUUCAAGAGCCGCACCGUCAGCUGCUGGGCAGCAUCGGGUGUGUGGGAAGUGGGCAAGGAGAUGGCUCCAAAAUGCAGUUACUUACUUUUCCCAAGUGUAGUUUUAGUGCCCUUGAGUCCACAGUCCCUGAUUGAGGGAUGUCCUGAUGUAAUGCUGAUGUUAAACUGACACUGUCAAGUAAUUAAAGUCCUGCAUUUAUUGUAGCCUGGUUUAGGAAAGGGAAAGGGGAUUUUUUUCUAAGCAUGCCUGGAAUUUUUAUUUGCCCUUAUUUACUACCAUCUGUGGAAAUGAUUAUAAGUUUGUUUUGUUUUUUUUUACUGUAGACGUUUUGCAGCGUUUGCAGAUCAGGAGCACUUCAGUGCGUGCCAAGCAGGAGGUGAAGCUGAUGGCAAACGGAGCUUGGGCCUCGCUCCCUGCUGAGAGAAAUACAAAAGGAGUGUGUGGCCGGGCUGGGGAAGGGUUUUGUGAAAAAUCUCCACAACCAGCAGGUGUUUUCCUUAAAGAAAAGCCCAGCUUUUGCUCUGAUCAGAGCCCUUUUGAUAAUGGAAAUAACUAUAUUUUGUUUGCCACUCUUGGUGUGAGCCAGGCGAGCUGGGACGGUGCUGGGGAGAUGCUGGGGUGAAUCCGUUGGGAUUCAGCUGCGUCUCAGUUCUGUUCCUGGCAGGAAACCUCCCCUUGCCCACGGUCCUGACCCAGCAAGGAGAAGCUGAGGCUGUAAAACGUGUAUUGGAAUUCGGUGAGGUUUUCAGCGACGCGCCAGAGUUACAGGGGUAACCAAAAUGGGGGGAUGGACAGACAGACGGACAAAGGAUGGACGGGCAGUGCUAGAAACCAAUGGCUCUCGCAGUGCUCACAUGGAUGGGGAAACUGGAUUUUCUCUCCAGUUUAUUGACUUCAUUCUUGGCACUGUCCUGAUCAACUCCUCUCUUCCCACCCGUAGGUAUUUUCUUAAAAGAAUUCCUCCAGUAAAAAAAAUACAGAACACAAAAAACCCCACCUGGCUCAUUCUAAAAAACACAAUAUUAAAUUUUAUAUCCUCAUUUUCUGGCUAAUCAGAUCCCCCACUGGCUGGAGCAAACAACCGGCCUGUUGUACAAGACAACGAAAAGCGGCACUUUAAUAACAGAGCAGUGAGCAGCUGCCAUUCUCCCCCGCUGCCAUCCAUCAGAGAGUGUUUGAUAGAAAAGAAAUAAAGGAACCAGUAAGACAUUUUCAAUGGAUGGAAAUAAAUGUUAGAGCUUUGCCUGGGGAUUUAUGGAGACCGUUGGCCAGGGACAUGAUCCGAGUUUGCUGGGACAGGCAGCGAUGCAUCCUGAGACCAGUGCAUGGCAAUCUUUUGCCCCGGUUCUUAUUUUGGCUGUGUCAGAUUUCCUGCCCAUCAGCCAUGUUUGAUCAACACUCAUUAGAGCAAAAUUAAUAUCCCCGCACACGGUACGUGUUGCUUGGAGUCCAACUCCACUUUUCAAGGCGAUGGAGCUGUGCAGCCCCACAAGCUGCAGUGCUGUGACCCCGGUGCGAAGCCGUGGAGCCCUGUGAGCUGGGGAACAUCUGCAGCUACAGUACACGCUGGGCAUUUCCACGCGCACGGAGAGCUCCUGCCGUCGGAGAAAAGCCAGGAGGGCUGCCAGGACCACUGAGCUGUCAUGGGAACUUGCAUGGGGAUGCUGGUGAAGAAGUUGCA